This 460-nucleotide ribosomal RNA is filed under the name uncultured bacterium. RNAcentral's name for it is "partial 16S ribosomal RNA". It matches the Rfam family "Bacterial small subunit ribosomal RNA", at positions 338 to 795 of the family's 1533-position model. The record is from RNAcentral.
CCUACGGGUGGCAGCAGUGAGGAAUAUUGGUCAAUGGUCGGGAGACUGAACCAGCCAAGCCGCGUGAGGGAAGACGGCUCUAUGAGUUGUAAACUGCUUUUGUACGAGGGUAAACGCAGAUACGCGUAUCUGUCUGAAAGUAUCGUACGAAUAAGGAUCGGCUAACUCCGUGCCAGCAGCCGCGGUAAUACGGAGGAUUCAAGCGUUAUCCGGAUUUAUUGGGUUUAAAGGGUGCGUAGGCGGUCGGAUAAGUUAGAGGUGAAAUCCCGGGGCUCAACUCCGGCACUGCCUCUGAUACUGUCGGGCUAGAGUUUAGUUGCGGUAGGCGGAAUGUAUGGUGUAGCGGUGAAAUGCAUAGAGAUCAUACAGAACACCGAUUGCGAAGGCAGCUUACCAAACUACGACUGACGUUGAGGCACGAAAGCGUGGGGAGCAAACAGGAUUAGAUACCCCUGUAGUC